GGAAGUUUGGCAGAGCGGUUGAAUGCACCAGUCUUGAAAACUGGCGUGGGUUAAUAGCCUACCGGGGGUUCGAAUCCCUCAACUUCCG
Molecule: transfer RNA, 88 nt
Filed under: Aureispira anguillae
Lineage: Bacteria; Pseudomonadati; Bacteroidota; Saprospiria; Saprospirales; Saprospiraceae
Also listed under: 1 other name
Rfam family: tRNA
About the family: Transfer RNA (tRNA) molecules are approximately 80 nucleotides in length.
Source: Rfam by way of RNAcentral